CUACCAUGGCGAUCACGGGUAACGGAGAAUUAGGGUUCGAUUCCGGAGAGGGAGCCUGAGAAACGGCUACCACAUCUACGGAAGGCAGCAGGCGCGUAAAUUACCCAAUCCUGACUCAGGGAGGUAGUGACAAGAAAUAACGGACCGGGGCUCCUCGUGGGCUUCGGGAUUGCAAUGAGCCGAAUUUACACCCCUUAGCGAGUAACGAUUGGAGGGCAAGUCUGGUGCCAGCAGCCGCGGUAAUUCCAGCUCCAAUAGCGUAUAUUAAAGUUGUUGCAGUUAAAAAGCUCGUAGUUGGAUUUCUGGAGGGGUGCCAAUGUCCGCCAAAACGCGUGCGCAGCGGCGCCCUUCCAUCCUUCUGUUAACGCCUCUUGGCAUUCACUUGCUGGUGGCGGGCUCAGAUAUUUUACCUUGAGAAAAUUAGAGUGUUUCAGGCAGGCUAGGCCGGAAUACAUUAGCAUGGAAUAAUGGAAUAGGACUACGGUCUCUUUGUUGGUUUGAGGGACUGCAGUAAUGAUUAAUAGGGAUAGUUGGGGGCAUUAGUAUUUAAUUGUCAGAGGUGGAAUUCUCAGAUUUGUUAAAGACUAACUUAUGCGAAAGCAUUUGCCAAGGAUGUUUUCAUUAAUCAA
RNAcentral lists this ribosomal RNA (629 nucleotides) under Ciliophora sp. RNAcentral describes it as "SSU rRNA". It matches the Rfam family "Eukaryotic small subunit ribosomal RNA", at positions 341 to 980 of the family's 1831-position model. Lineage: Eukaryota; Ciliophora. The record is from RNAcentral.